UUUGAAGUUUACACAGAAUUGAUUAGCGUAAAAAAGAAUAUCAUUGGGCUGUCAUAAAGAUAUUGGAAAUUUCAUGAGUGAGAAAACUUAAGUUACAGUAAUUAUGUGCUUAUGUUUUUUCAAGUAGAAAUAAAUUAUUCAACAGUGCUGCCCUCCAUUUUUCUCUUUUGAAGAACUUCAAUAAUUGGUUUCUACAGUUGAAAUUUGUGAUUCUUUGUGGUUAAGCAUGAUAUCCUAUGAUUUAUUUCCUUAGCGUCAUGCUUGGUUGAGAGGAAG
This 276-nucleotide unclassified non-coding RNA is filed under the name Hevea brasiliensis (rubber tree). The record is from RNAcentral. Lineage: Eukaryota; Viridiplantae; Streptophyta; Magnoliopsida; Malpighiales; Euphorbiaceae.